AUGAAGGAGAGGCUGCCAGGAAGCUGGCAGGGCCCAUGGACUGGCUUGGGGAAUGAUUAACACUGAGCAAACAUGUUUAUUUCCCUGCCCCCACAAUGCACUGUGCUAUUUUCAGUUGGGAGUUGGGGUGUGUGUGUGUGUGCACUUGCUCAUGUUCAAAAGGGGAUUUUUUUUUCUGAGUACACACCGGUAGAGUGGGAACCCGUUUUCCAAGUGGAGACAAAAGCCGUUGAGCAUUGCCACAAUGGUGAUCUAGCUUAGGAUCUCGAACAUAAAACAAUGUGUGUGUUUCAGGUGAGAUCAUGGGAAGUGUGUAUAACUGAACACUAGAUGGAUAUUUAGAGAACUGCACUUCAGGAACCUACACCUUCGUGUCUCAAGUUAUGAAUAUUGACCAAUAGGAUCAGCGCAUGCUUGGCCAAUUAACAAAAGGUCUCAUUAAAUAUUUCCAGUGGCUCCUACUGUACAGUGUUAUGCAAAACUCUCAUGAUUCUGAUUGUAGGCAUUAUGAGCAAUCCAUGCCAUCCCACCUUUAUUGAGUAAGAAUCCUUUGCUUUUGCAGGAGAGCAAACUGGCUCACAGACUAGCCAAAUAUGACAGCAACAAAUGUGGUUCACCAUGUUGUAAGAUUUAUUCAUGAAGACAAAAUGUUCUUUUACAAAAUAAAUGUUAUAAUUGUGGGAUUUUAUUUGUUCAUAUGUCAUCUUUGGUUCAAUACUACAAAAGAUUAUAAGAAGGUUAAGUAUGAGGACCGCUGGUGGCUACUGGAAAGCAUUUCCUCAUUGAGGGUUAUAGACUUUCCUUUUCAAUAUGGCGGUUGGCGGCGAAAGAGACACAGGCCUAAAGCAUAGGCCGAUGGCUAGCUUCAAACUCCUUCGGAUUCGGUGUUUUCUGUUCCCAGGGAGCAACAUGACCACGUUGGAGGUCCUGGAGUUCACGGUUGUGUAUAAUCAAGAGCAGAAGAUUCAGGGAGGGACACGAGCCUACAUGUGAGUUUUUACCGAAUUCCUCUCCAUAGCAGUUCAGACAGUAAGAUAUCAAAAGAUUGAAUGUCUCCACAUUUCAUGUGCAGUAUGGAUUGCUUGCUUGUUUUUGUCGAAUUUCGGGGUGCACGGAGCUUAUCAAUUUGUGUAUUCAGUGCGCUGAAGUAUUUCUCAGAAGUCUUGUGCCAAGCUUGGGAAUGAACUGUUUCCAAACUAUUAAAAUGUUAUUAUUUAAAGAAGCA
Molecule: long non-coding RNA, 1225 nt
Organism: Anguilla rostrata (American eel)
Lineage: Eukaryota; Metazoa; Chordata; Actinopteri; Anguilliformes; Anguillidae
Exons: 2
Source: RefSeq, a predicted model, not a curated record